RNAcentral lists this ribosomal RNA (519 nucleotides) under fungal sp. RNAcentral's name for it is "eukaryotic LSU rRNA". The stretch from base 166 to 319 matches the Rfam family "5.8S ribosomal RNA". The record is from RNAcentral. Lineage: Eukaryota; Fungi.
CUGCGGAGGGAUCAUUACCGAGUUUACAACUCCCAAACCCCUGUGAACAUACCAAUUGUUGCCUCGGCGGAUCAGCCCGCUCCCGGUAAAACGGGACGGCCCGCCAGAGGACCCCUAAACUCUGUUUCUAUAUGUAACUUCUGAGUAAAACCAUAAAUAAAUCAAAACUUUCAACAACGGAUCUCUUGGUUCUGGCAUCGAUGAAGAACGCAGCAAAAUGCGAUAAGUAAUGUGAAUUGCAGAAUUCAGUGAAUCAUCGAAUCUUUGAACGCACAUUGCGCCCGCCAGUAUUCUGGCGGGCAUGCCUGUUCGAGCGUCAUUUCAACCCUCAAGCCCAGCUUGGUGUUGGGACUCGCGAGUCAAAUCGCGUUCCCCAAAUUGAUUGGCGGUCACGUCGAGCUUCCAUAGCGUAGUAGUAAAACCCUCGUUACUGGUAAUCGUCGCGGCCACGCCGUUAAACCCCAACUUCUGAAUGUUGACCUCGGAUCAGGUAGGAAUACCCGCUGAACUUAAGCAUAU